Molecule: ribosomal RNA, 406 nt
Filed under: uncultured bacterium
Lineage: Bacteria
Description: partial 16S ribosomal RNA
Rfam family: Bacterial small subunit ribosomal RNA
Source: RNAcentral
AUUGAACGCUGGCGGCAGGCUUAACACAUGCAAGUAGAACGAGUGGCGGACGGGUGAAUAAUGUCUGGGAAACUGCCUGAUGGAGGGGGAUAACUACUGGAAACGGUAGCUAAUACCGCAUACCAUCGAAGGUGGCCAGAUGGGAUUGGCUAGUGGGUGGGGUAACCGCUAACCAGGGCGACGAUCCCUAGCUGGUCUGAGAGGAUGACCAUCCACACUGGAACGUAGACACGGUCCAGCAUCCUACUGUAGGCAGCAGUGGCGAAUAUUGCACAAUGGGCGCAAGCCUGAUGCAGCCGUGCCGCGUGUAUGAAGAAGGCCUUCGGGUUGUAAAGUACUUUCAGCGGUUAGGCGUUACUCGCAGAAUAAGCACCGGCUAACUACGUGCCAGCAGCCGCGGUAAUUC